GCUUGUCACAAUUCACAACCUGGAACCCAUUUCGCCACUUGCCCACCUGUAUAUCUCAGAGUGAGUCUUCUCAAAGCUCAGCUCUAUAAAUCUCUUCUCAAUUUACCGUAAUAUGUGCUUGUUAAUGCCAAAUAUUAAUUAUGACAAGCUCAAAACAGAGCAAGGUUAUGUACUUGGUAGCCUGUAGGCUGUAGCCCGGUACUUUUUCUUGGAAUGUAGAAACUUUCUUCGGCCUUUUUGAAUUCUACUAAUUAAACUGUCAUAGGUUGGGCCUGAAGAUAUGUACAUAGAUAGAAAUUUUGGUGAAUAGUUGGCCCAGAACACUGGCUUGCUGUUUUUCUACUCAUCCUUGUGAUGAAACAGUUUCCACACAUACAAAUACAAUCCUGAGACAUAUAAUAUCUUGCAAAGAAGCAAAAGCUUACAAACUUCUUUCUCAUAUGGAUACAAAAUUACAACUGGUACAUUAUCAUCUUUUUCUGCUCUCUUCCACUCAAUCAAUCUCACAAUGUCCACCUCACAAUUCCUCUUUAAAAAGGCUACUACCCUCCCCAAAAAAAACCCACCAAGCUUCUGAAUUAGUAGUUUGUGGCUAUAACUAUGGCUUCCAAGAAGCUCCUCGCCUGCAUUUUGGUCCUCUCCCUCCUUCUCUCCUCAGAAUUCUCUAAUGGUUGUGAUCCUUGCAAGCCCAAGCCUAAGGAAACUUGCCCCAGAGACGCAUUGAAGCUAGGGGUUUGCGCAGACCUGCUCGGACUGGUUAAUGUUGUAGUUGGCAGUCCUCCUUCAGACAACAAGUGUUGUGCUUUGCUUGCAGGUUUGGCUGACUUAGAAGCUGCUCUUUGUCUAUGCACUGCCAUUAAAGCUAAUGUGCUUGGAAUCAACUUGAACGUGCCGGUUACACUAAGCUUGCUCAUUAGUACAUGUGCAAAAUCCAUUCCUCCUGGCUUCCAAUGUCCAUAAAAAUAAUAAAUGAGCGAUCUGGCCAUUAAUUUCUGCUUUGUGUGCUAAUAUAGUUUAAUUGGUGCGUUAAUCUGUGAGAGCUUUCUUUUUCGGUUGCUUUAAAGAAAGGCCAGUAAUUUUUUUUUCUUUUUUCUAAUAUUUGAACGUGUGAUUUUUUUCAAUAACUAGGCAAGUCUAUGUUGCCUCUAAUAUUUGAUGUGUGAUUUGUUCUAAUAACUAGGCAAGUCUAUCUUGUCUAGCAGAUUAUUGUAUACACUGAGUUCAAUGCUCCCUCACUUAUAAAGUGUGGACUCUCUAUGAAUUAAGGAGGGUAAACCCCACAUAAAUAUAAGUAAGAGUGUAUGUACAUUAGAUGUACUGAAUAUUCUCCCUCCCUUGUUGCUUUAAUAUGGUGUAUUUAUUUUCUUUUUUUUUUUUGUGAUUAAUGUAAGUUAUCACUCCAUUUCUUCUGUAUUAUUAAUUAUACUUUGUAUACAUACUUUGUAACAAUUUAUGGAUGAAUUUUGAAAAAUGGGCUUAAAAAAUAUGACGUGUGAAAAUCCACAUGAAAACUCAAAGCUUAUAGAAAUUUGAAGUGUAUUAAAUCAUUAAAGCUCUGUUUGGUUGAGCCAUCGAAUGCAACUAAUAGCUAUUAGCUGAUAGCUAUUACUGUUAGCUUAUAGCUGAUAACUGAUAGCUGAUG
RNAcentral lists this unclassified non-coding RNA (1642 nucleotides) under Hevea brasiliensis (rubber tree). Lineage: Eukaryota; Viridiplantae; Streptophyta; Magnoliopsida; Malpighiales; Euphorbiaceae. The record is from RNAcentral.